Molecule: ribosomal RNA, 115 nt
Filed under: Rhodymenia pseudopalmata
Lineage: Eukaryota; Rhodophyta; Florideophyceae; Rhodymeniales; Rhodymeniaceae
Source: RNAcentral
AGUUUUUAAUUGCCUAAAAAUUCUAUGUAGAUAGUAGUUUUAGCAAAGAUAAAUUUACAGUUGAAUUCAAAAGGGUUCAGGUAUUUUAUUAAGUUUACUUCUAAAAUUAAAAAUU